Molecule: ribosomal RNA, 431 nt
Filed under: Onthophagus championi
Lineage: Eukaryota; Metazoa; Arthropoda; Insecta; Coleoptera; Scarabaeidae
Description: partial 16S ribosomal RNA
Source: RNAcentral
CAUGUCUUUUUGAUUAUAAUAUAAAGUCUGACCUGCCCUAUGAUAAAUUUAAAUGGCCGCGAUAAUUUGAUCGUGCAAAGGUAGCAUAAUAAUUAGUUUCUUAAUUAGGAACUGGAAUGAAAGGUCGAACGAGAAAAUAACUGUCUCAGUUUAAUUUAAAUUAGAAUUUUAUUUUUAAGUAAAAAAGCUUAAAUAUUUUUGAAAGACGAGAAGACCCUAUAGAGUUUUAUAUUUAGUUAUAUAUUUUUUAGUUUAAGAAUUUUAUUUUAAAAUUAGUAAUUAAAUAUUUGGUUGGGGUGAUUGAAAAAUUAAAUAAACUUUUUUUAUUAUAAAAACAUUAAUAUAUGAUUAAUUGAUCCAUAGUUAAUGAUUAGAAGAUUAAAUUACCUUAGGGAUAACAGCGUAAUUUUUUUUAAGAGUUCUUAUCGAAA